CAAGAAAUGCACUAUCACCCUGUGAUCGAACCCAAAACAGACUUAUCAGAUAGAACGAUUUUGGUAAUAACUUAAGUAAUCCCCGGGUGAAGCUGGCCUAAACAUGUUACAAGUGUCCUAAUGCCUAACAAGGAUAACAGAGUACACAACAAACUAGGCUCAUGUGUUUUACAGUCUACAGCUGAUUAUGACAACUACAGCCUUAAUUUUGUUUACAAGGAAUAGAUGCACGGACAUCAAGCAGCCUACAGUGUGUGUUGAAAACCCUGCAAGUUGUCCUGGUUCAAGGUAACUUUCCCUACACAUAAUUUUGUUUCACAUAACAAUAUCUGGAGAAAAUGAUUGAAGAGCUAGUGACCAAGUGAACUCAGUGAAAGAAUAUGGCAACUUUUAAAUACUGCAAAAAGGAAAAUCAUAUAUCCGAGUGACGAAUUGACCUUUGCCAAGAGAGAGCCAAGCAGUAUGAAACCAGACAAUAACUUAGAAAAAGAGCAUUUAUUUUGGUCAGUGCACAAGUAUUAACAGGAAGAGAUAAAAAGAGCUGAAGAGAUGGACAAAUCAAUUAUUAUAGUUAUAGUGGUAGCAAGGAUUUAAAAAAAAACCCAUUGAAACAUUUUGCCGGAUGACUAAUCUGGAAAAAGAAAAUGCUAGAUGGCAGUAAAAAGUAGCAGUUGCCAAAAUGAAAUGUGAAUAUGCUUAACAAAAUAGAACUGUUAGGUGUGGUUCAGCCCAUUUUUUGAAACAGUUUAUUUUAAGAAAAUAAAAAUGUAUUUUACCUUUACGUAUUUGACGCGUUAUCUUUGUACGACAAUUUUUUUACUUUAUUAUUUAAAAUGUACUUGCAAGUUUAAUACUUCAUUGCAUGUUUAUAUGUUAAAUAAACCUGCAUAAAUUAAAACCAAAUUUUGUUAGUAUUUGUUAGGUUAUGAAUGAAAUUUUUCAUUUUUCUUUAGU
Molecule: long non-coding RNA, 954 nt
Organism: Physella acuta
Lineage: Eukaryota; Metazoa; Mollusca; Gastropoda; Physidae
Source: RefSeq, a predicted model, not a curated record